This 561-nucleotide ribosomal RNA is filed under the name uncultured bacterium. RNAcentral describes it as "partial 16S ribosomal RNA". It matches the Rfam family "Bacterial small subunit ribosomal RNA", at positions 355 to 908 of the family's 1533-position model. The record is from RNAcentral.
UGGGGAAUUUUGGACAAUGGGCGAAAGCCUGAUCCAGCAAUGCCGCGUGUGUGAAGAAGGCCUUCGGGUUGUAAAGCACUUUUGUCCGGAAAGAAAUGGCUCUGGUUAAUACCUGGGGUCGAUGACGGUACCGGAAGAAUAAGGACCGGCUAACUACGUGCCAGCAGCCGCGGUAAUACGUAGGGUCCAAGCGUUAAUCGGAAUUACUGGGCGUAAAGCGUGCGCAGGCGGUUGUGCAAGACCGAUGUGAAAUCCCCGAGCUUAACUUGGGAAUUGCAUUGGUGACUGCACGGCUAGAGUGUGUCAGAGGGGGGUAGAAUUCCACGUGUAGCAGUGAAAUGCGUAGAGAUGUGGAGGAAUACCGAUGGCGAAGGCAGCCCCCUGGGAUAACACUGACGCUCAUGCACGAAAGCGUGGGGAGCAAACAGGAUUAGAUACCCUGGUAGUCCACGCCCUAAACGAUGUCAACUAGUUGUUGGGGAUUCAUUUCCUUAGUAACGUAGCUAACGCGUGAAGUUGACCGCCUGGGGAGUACGGUCGCAAGAUUAAAAGCUUAAAGGG